CACACUAAGUUUAAGCAUAUAAAUAAGUAGAGAAAAAUAAGCUUACAAGGAUUUCACUAGUAACUACAAGCAAAUUAGGAGCAACCCAGUCUUAGGAUUGGGCAACACCAUCAUUUGAAUUAUUGUCUGAAAAAGCUUUCUUAGCAACUGACCAAACUCUAUUUAAUUAAAAGGGGGUGCCAUAGAGGAUGAUAGCCACAUUGUGAUCAAAACCUAUUUCAUCAUAAGACAUUAUAUAUAUGUUAGGUUGAUUGGAAAUGUAGCCUAAAUCAAGCAAUGAAUACUAUCAAGGGCUAAAUAUGUGAAAUGUCGAUAGCAAACAACAACCACAAAGGAAAGUUGAAAAGAAAUUUGAAAAAAAAGCCAAAGAGUGAUUGAAAUUAUUGGGAGUGAAGGAGAUAGAGGCCUUGAAUUCACCCUGGUUAGAUGUGAAAUAUGAUGGGCCGUUCUGUUGGUCGAUUCGGGGGUGGACCAAUAUGGAUUAAAUAGGCAUACAAAGAUCGAGUCAUGGAAUAAUCUUAAUUAUGGUAGACAAUGAGCGCUUCUUUCAUGCUUUGAAAUCUAUAAGAUCUAGACGUUAUCUGGAGGAUCUCCACUCAACUUGCCAUGAAAAUGG
RNAcentral lists this non-coding RNA (616 nucleotides) under Capsicum annuum. RNAcentral's name for it is "Eukaryotic large subunit ribosomal RNA". It matches the Rfam family "Eukaryotic large subunit ribosomal RNA", at positions 24 to 664 of the family's 3401-position model. Lineage: Eukaryota; Viridiplantae; Streptophyta; Magnoliopsida; Solanales; Solanaceae. The record is from Rfam by way of RNAcentral.